CCUACGGGCGGCUGCAGUGGGGAAUAUUGGACAAUGGGGGCAACCCUGAUCCAGCCAUGCCGCGUGUGUGAAGAAGGCCUUCGGGUUGUAAAGCACUUUUGUUGGGGAAGAAACCGGCCGGGUUAAUACCCUGGUUGAAUGACGGUACCCAAAGAAUAAGCACCGGCUAACUUCGUGCCAGCAGCCGCGGUAAUACGAAGGGUGCAAGCGUUACUCGGAAUUACUGGGCGUAAAGCGUGCGUAGGCGGUUUGUUAAGUCUGCUGUGAAAGCCCUGGGCUCAACCUGGGAACUGCAGUGGAUACUGGCGAGCUAGAGUGUGUCAGAGGAUGGUGGAAUUCCCGGUGUAGCGGUGAAAUGCGUAGAGAUCGGGAGGAACACCAGUGGCGAAGGCGGCCAUCUGGGACAACACUGACGCUGAGGCACGAAAGCGUGGGGAGCAAACAGGAUUAGAUACCCCGGUAGUC
This 465-nucleotide ribosomal RNA is filed under the name uncultured Dokdonella sp. Its description in RNAcentral is "bacterial SSU rRNA". It matches the Rfam family "Bacterial small subunit ribosomal RNA", at positions 338 to 795 of the family's 1533-position model. Lineage: Bacteria; Pseudomonadati; Pseudomonadota; Gammaproteobacteria; Lysobacterales; Rhodanobacteraceae. The record is from RNAcentral.